AGUGAACGCUGGCGGUAGGCCUAACACAUGCAAGUCGAACGGCAGCACAGUAAGAGCUUGCUCUUACGGGUGGCGAGUGGCGGACGGGUGAGGAAUACAUCGGAAUCUACUUUUUCGUGGGGGAUAACGUAGGGAAACUUACGCUAAUACCGCAUACGACCUACGGGUGAAAGCAGGGGAUCUUCGGACCUUGUGCGAUUGAAUGAGCCGAUGUCGGAUUAGCUAGUUGGCGGGGUAAAGGCCCACCAAGGCGACGAUCCGUAGCGGGUCUGAGAGGAUGAUCAGCCACACUGGAACUGAGACACGGUCCAGACUCCUACGGGAGGCAGCAGUGGGGAAUAUUGGACGAUGGGCGCAAGCCUGAUCCAGCCAUACCGCGUGGGUGAAGAAGGCCUUCGGGUUGUAAAGCCCUUUUGUUGGGAAAGAAAAGCAGCAGGUUAAUACCCCGCUGUUCUGACGGUACCCAAAGAAUAAGCACCGGCUAACUUCGUG
This 492-nucleotide ribosomal RNA is filed under the name uncultured bacterium. RNAcentral's name for it is "partial 16S ribosomal RNA". It matches the Rfam family "Bacterial small subunit ribosomal RNA", at positions 29 to 507 of the family's 1533-position model. The record is from RNAcentral.